AGAGAUGUGUGAUGACGCAUAUCAAUAAGCGGAGGAAAAGAAACUAACAAGGAUUCCCUUAGUAACGGCGAGUGAAGCGGGAAGAGCUCAAAUUUGAAAUCUUCAAGGUUCUACCUUGACGAAUUGUAGUUUAAAGAAGUGUUUUCUGUUAGUGGAGUGGCAGAAGUUCUUUGGAAUAGGACAUCAUAGAGGGUGAGAAUCCCGUAUUUGGUCAUUCCUUCUAGCUUUGUGAUACACUUUCAAAGAGUCGGAUUGUUUGGGAAUGCAGCCCAAAAUGGGUGGUAAAUUUCAUCUAAAGCUAAAUAUUGGCGAGAGACCGAUAGCGAACAAGUACCGUGAGGGAAAGAUGAAUAGAACUUUGAAAAGAGAGUUAAACAGUACGUGAAAUUGUCAAAAGGGAAGCGUUUGACACCAGUGUUGUUUUUCCGAAAAUCAAUUACGAAUGUUUUGUUUUUGAGAAGUUAUGACUUCAUCGGCUUGCUUCUCUCUUUACGAAACUUUCUUAAUGCACUUUUCGGUUAACAAGUCAACAUCAAUUUCUUUUGUUGUAAAAGGGUAUGAGGAAGGUGGCUUUCUUUUCGGAGAAAGUGUUUAUAGCCUUGUACCUCUGCAAUCGGAGAGAUUGAGGUCUGCAGCGUAGAUCCUUCGGGGUUAGAUACAUUUGUGCUAAGUUAUAGCUUUUCAUAGACAACUUGUUGACUAUGUUUAGUCUUGUAGCUUACUCGCUUAUUCUAUUUUACCUACGCUUAGGAUGUUGAAGAUGUAGCACAUCAU
RNAcentral lists this ribosomal RNA (774 nucleotides) under uncultured Neocallimastigales. RNAcentral's name for it is "partial large subunit ribosomal RNA". It matches the Rfam family "Eukaryotic large subunit ribosomal RNA", at positions 23 to 643 of the family's 3401-position model. The record is from RNAcentral. Lineage: Eukaryota; Fungi; Neocallimastigomycota; Neocallimastigomycetes; Neocallimastigales.